CCUACAGGAGGCUGCAGUGAGGAAUAUUGGUCAAUGGACGCAAGUCUGAACCAGCCAUGUCGCGUGCAGGAAGACGGCUCUAUGAGUUGUAAACUGCUUUUGUACGAGGAUAAACGCAGAUACGCGUAUAUGUCUGCAUGUAUCGUACGAAUAAGCAUCGGCUAACUCCGUGCCAGCAGCCGCGGUAAUACGGAGGAUUCAAGCGUUAUCCGGAUUUAUUGGGUUUAAAGGGUGCGUAGGUGGUCGUAUAAGUUAGAGGUGAAAUCCCGAGGCUCAACCUCAGAAUUGCCUCUGAUACUGGUAGACUAGAGAGUAGUUGCGGUAGGCGGAAUGUAUGGUGUAGCGGUGAAAUGCAUAGAGAUCAUACAGAACACCGAUUGCGAAGGCAGCUUACCAAGCUACUUCUGACAUUGAAGCACGAAAGCGUGGGGAUCAAACAGGAUUAGAUACCCGGGUAGUC
RNAcentral lists this ribosomal RNA (460 nucleotides) under uncultured bacterium. RNAcentral's name for it is "partial 16S ribosomal RNA". It matches the Rfam family "Bacterial small subunit ribosomal RNA", at positions 338 to 795 of the family's 1533-position model. The record is from RNAcentral.